GGGCGUAUUGCCUUUUGUCCAGUCAUGGGAAGCGUGUCGCUUGUCCGUAGUUAAAUUUCUUUAAUUUCGUGAUACGAGCCAAAGACGGACCCGACCCGAUUAUCGAUCACUGCGUCACUAGGUCAAAUCGGGUCACGUGGCCAUUGCGAGGAAGGUUGCAGUUAUCAGCCGAACAUUUCUAGGGACUGAAAUGAGAAUCCGCCGGCAGAAUGGCUCUGUGAAUAGGCCCAGGUCUGAGCGAUUUGUCUCUUUUACCUUUAUCGCUCGCUUUCUUAUCAACACGUCAUACCACUCACGGGGACUUGUCUGAAGACGACUUCCAUUCAAACUUUCGUCAGGUUUGUUGGGAAAUCUUCAGCAUUUAUUCUUUUCCAUUGCCAAUUUCUCAAAAUCUUUAAUGUGCCUCAUUUUUUUUCGAAGUGAAAUUGAAUACUGUGAGCACCCCUUGAAAAUAUACAUAUUCAUGUGACUGGAAAUACAUCCUCUGCGUUUUAUCUUCAUUAUCAUUCAAAAAUAUAUAUUUUAUCAGGUAUUCAAUCAUUAGUCCUCAUUGGAUCCGCGUAUUUCUACUAAUAUAGGAUUUAUCUCAGAGGCUUAUCGUUUUCCCAUUAGCUGUUGUACGCUUUCUUUCGUGAUAUUAAGACCGCAGUCUCCAAACUUGCUUAUGGGAGAUUACAAAGGGAACCUAUGAAUAUUCCAAUGAAAUAUCUCUCCGAAGGAUGUCGGGGAAAAUACCUUCCUAAAAGAUUGUGUUAGUUGUAUGGCUGCAGUUAAGUGUGCCAAAGCAAUAUAAUGUAUUGUAUACAUGUAGUGGAAUUGAAACGAUAUGCAGUGUGUAACAUUAAAAUAUUUGUUGUGCUAAUAAUACACUUACAUUAUCAGAUUAAUUCACAUUCGGUUAAGUAAAAAAAUUAAAAAAAUCAAUAUAAAAUAACUGGCGGAGCUGGGUGUACAGGCCAGGGCAACUAU
Lytechinus variegatus (green sea urchin) is the source of this 969-nucleotide long non-coding RNA. RefSeq lists it as uncharacterized. NCBI's taxonomy places the organism in Eukaryota, Metazoa, Echinodermata, Echinoidea, Temnopleuroida, Toxopneustidae. The transcript has 4 exons. The record is from RefSeq and is a predicted model, not a curated record.